CCCAUUAUUCUUUUUUUUUUUCAAUGUCUGAUUCAACCUCAAGUCCUGCCUCUCAAAUUUCUGAGGUCACAAAGGCCUGUCCACUCUCAGUAUGACAGAAUGUGGGCUCUCAUUCUCCCUCAAGGACCUACACUUUGCCUUCUGAUGGGACUUUUCACAGGGCUGCUCUGGAGAAUAGUACUCGGGAACUGGUGGCAGAGAGGAACUGAUGGAACAUGAAGUUCUUCCAUGAACACCCAGCACGAUGGAUCUUCUCUGGUGCCAUUUCACAGGGACCCUGACCAGCUGUCCAACUUCUCUAUCCCAUAGUGUCCUAUCCAUUAAAUGGGAGAAAUAGUUCCCACCCGGGGAAU
This 353-nucleotide long non-coding RNA is filed under the name Fukomys damarensis (Damara mole-rat). RNAcentral's name for it is "lncRNA (ENSFDAG00000032255.1)". Lineage: Eukaryota; Metazoa; Chordata; Mammalia; Rodentia; Bathyergidae. The record is from RNAcentral.